RNAcentral lists this ribosomal RNA (436 nucleotides) under uncultured Alphaproteobacteria bacterium. Its description in RNAcentral is "bacterial SSU rRNA". It matches the Rfam family "Bacterial small subunit ribosomal RNA", at positions 46 to 526 of the family's 1533-position model. Lineage: Bacteria; Pseudomonadati; Pseudomonadota; Alphaproteobacteria. The record is from RNAcentral.
GCUUAACACAUGCAAGUCGAGCGGGCGUAGCAAUACGUCAGCGGCAGACGGGUGAGUAACGCGUGGGAACGUACCUUUUGGUUCGGAACAACACAGGGAAACUUGUGNUAAUACCGGAUAAGCCCUUACGGGGAAAGAUUUAUCGCCGAAAGAUCGGCCCGCGUCUGAUUAGCUAGUUGGUGAGGUAAUGGCUCACCAAGGCGACGAUCAGUAGCUGGUNUGAGAGGAUGAUCAGCCACAUUGGGACUGAGACACGGCCCAAACUCCUACGGGAGGCAGCAGUGGGGAAUAUUGGACAAUGGGCGAAAGCCUGAUCCAGCCAUGCCGCGUGAGUGAUGAAGGCCCUAGGGUUGUAAAGCUCUUUUGUGCGGGAAGAUAAUGACGGUACCGCAAGAAUAAGCCCCGGCUAACUUCGUGCCAGCAGCCGCGGUAAUAC